This 470-nucleotide long non-coding RNA is filed under the name Homo sapiens (human). Its description in RNAcentral is "non-protein coding lnc-TMEM243-2:1". Lineage: Eukaryota; Metazoa; Chordata; Mammalia; Primates; Hominidae. The record is from RNAcentral.
CUGUAUGUCACAACAUGAGAAGGAAGCAGGCAGAUCAAUCAAUCCCUCAGGUUGGCAAUCAGGAAAUGCCACUGUGUCCUUCCAAAUUUUGUUACCAAAAGGGGUUCUGUACUCACAGCAUCUUACAUGAAACUCUGAGAUCCUAUCCUAAAUCUAAAGCUUACAGCCCUGCUUCUUUCAUUAAGCUGGCCAUGUCACAGAAUGACAAAGUUAGUCCUGUAGAAAUCUUUUCUUUCGUCUUUUGACAUCUCAAAGAUGAUUUCUGUAGCAUCUUUUAUUCCGCGUGCCUAAAUGGGUUACAUUUCUUUGAUUUAGGGAUUUCUGAUAAAAUGCAUAUGGAUAUACUAUGCUUUUAAAAUUUGUUUUAAUGUUAUAAGACAAAACCAGAAUUCUUUUUUAAGCAGAAUUUUUGGAAACUGGCCUCUAAAAGUAUUCCCCAAUGAAGGACAGAAAUGAUGACUAUUCACAGG